AGUUCGGACUGUAGGCUGCAACUCGCCUACACAAGUUGGAAUUGCUAGUAAUCGUGGAUCAGCAUGCCACGGUGAAUACGUUCCCGGGUCUUGUACACACCGCCCGUCACACCAUGGGAGCUGGUAACACCCGAAGUCAGUAGUCUAACCGCAAGGAGGACGCUGCCGAAGGUGGGAUUGGCGACUGGGGUGAAGUCGUAACAAGGUAUC
RNAcentral lists this ribosomal RNA (210 nucleotides) under uncultured bacterium. RNAcentral's name for it is "partial 16S ribosomal RNA". It matches the Rfam family "Bacterial small subunit ribosomal RNA", at positions 1290 to 1500 of the family's 1533-position model. The record is from RNAcentral.